This 478-nucleotide ribosomal RNA is filed under the name uncultured bacterium. RNAcentral describes it as "bacterial SSU rRNA". It matches the Rfam family "Bacterial small subunit ribosomal RNA", at positions 38 to 507 of the family's 1533-position model. The record is from RNAcentral.
GGCGGCAGGCCUAACACAUGCAAGUCGAGCGGUAACAUUUCUAGCUUGCUAGAAGAUGACGAGCGGCGGACGGGUGAGUAACGCGUAGAAAUCUACCUAGUAGUGGGGGAUAGCCCAGAGAAAUUUGGAUUAAUACCGCAUACGCCCUACGGGGGAAAGCGGGGGAUCUUCGGACCUCGUGCUAUUAGAUGAGUCUGCGUCGGAUUAGCUUGUUGGUGAGGUAAUGGCUCACCAAGGCGACGAUCCGUAGCUGGUCUGAGAGGAUGAUCAGCCACACUGGGACUGAGACACGGCCCAGACUCCUACGGGAGGCAGCAGUGGGGAAUAUUGCACAAUGGGCGCAAGCCUGAUGCAGCCAUGCCGCGUGUGUGAAGAAGGCCUUAGGGUUGUAAAGCACUUUCAGCAGUGAGGAAAGGGGUGUCGUUAAUAGCGCCAUCCUGUGACGUUAACUGCAGAAGAAGGACCGGCUAACUCCGUG